UCGAACGGUAACAGGUUAAGCUGACGAGUGGCGAACGGGUGAGUAAUGCAUCGGAACGUGCCCGAUCGUGGGGGAUAACGCAGCGAAAGCUGCGCUAAUACCGCAUACGAUCUGAGGAUGAAAGCGGGGGACCGUAAGGCCUCGCGCGAUCGGAGCGGCCGAUGUCAGAUUAGGUAGUUGGUGGGGUAAAGGCUCAUCAAGCCGACGAUCUGUAGCUGGUCUGAGAGGACGACCAGCCACACUGGGACUGAGACACGGCCCAGACUCCUACGGGAGGCAGCAGUGGGGAAUUUUGGACAAUGGGCGCAAGCCUGAUCCAGCAAUGCCGCGUGCAGGAAGAAGGCCUUCGGGUUGUAAACUGCUUUUGUACGGAGCGAAAAGGUCUUUCCUAAUACGGAAGGCUGAUGACGGUACCGUAAGAAUAAGCACCGGCUAACUACGUGCCAGCAGCCGCGGUAAUACGUAGGGUGCGAGCGUUAAUCGGAAUUACUGGGCGUAAAGCGUGCGCAGGCGGUUUUGUAAGACAGGCGUGAAAUCCCCGGGCUCAACCUGGGAAUGGCGCUUGUGACUGCCAAAGCUGGAGUGCGGCAAAGGGGGAUGGAUUCCCCGUGUAGCAGUGAAAUGCGUAAAUAUGCGGAGGAACCCCGAUAAA
RNAcentral lists this ribosomal RNA (652 nucleotides) under uncultured bacterium. RNAcentral describes it as "bacterial SSU rRNA". It matches the Rfam family "Bacterial small subunit ribosomal RNA", at positions 62 to 716 of the family's 1533-position model. The record is from RNAcentral.